Molecule: non-coding RNA, 90 nt
Filed under: uncultured Agathobaculum sp.
Lineage: Bacteria; Bacillati; Bacillota; Clostridia; Eubacteriales; Butyricicoccaceae
Description: TPP riboswitch (THI element)
Rfam family: TPP riboswitch aptamer (THI element)
About the family: Vitamin B(1) in its active form thiamin pyrophosphate (TPP) is an essential coenzyme that is synthesised by coupling of pyrimidine and thiazole moieties in bacteria.
Source: RNAcentral
ACUCGCAAGGGAGCUUCUGCAAGAGGCUGAGAGGAGGUUUUUAAACCUCGACCUUACCUGAUUUGGAUAAUGCCAACGUAGGGAUGCGAA